RNAcentral lists this antisense RNA (75 nucleotides) under Streptomyces sp. TSRI0107. Its description in RNAcentral is "ASpks sRNA". It matches the Rfam family "ASpks TB sRNA". The record is from RNAcentral. Lineage: Bacteria; Bacillati; Actinomycetota; Actinomycetes; Kitasatosporales; Streptomycetaceae.
CUUCAGGGAGCCCAGCCACAGCGGCCGGUCCUGCGGCCGGUCCUGCCCGUAGGUCGCGAUCAGCGCCUGCGCCUC